AUCGCGCAGCGGACUUGUUUGGAGCUUUCAGCGCUCAUGGCCGGCCUCCGGACGUGACGCUGCCGACGGUGACAGGCUCCGGCCCCCUGUCGCGGCGCGGUUUAGCCGCAGCUUUGCUGGAGACGCUCGCGGUUUUUCGCAGUUCAGGCUUUCGCAAACCAAAGAACUUUGGGCCGUUCCAUCGCGUCCCCGUGAUGGCGCGGGCGACUUCCGAGAGGCUCUGGUAGGUUUGCUCGUUGUAGUAGAAGCCUUUGCUUAAAACCGUGACCCUAUGGGUCGUGCCUUUCCACUCCCGCACGACGAUGGCGCCGGCCUUGAUGCGCCUCCGGAACUCCGGCUGAUCGCCAGUCUUAUUGCUGUGUAGUUUAAUGAUCUGGCUGAGUUCGCGC
Molecule: unclassified non-coding RNA, 389 nt
Filed under: Hevea brasiliensis (rubber tree)
Lineage: Eukaryota; Viridiplantae; Streptophyta; Magnoliopsida; Malpighiales; Euphorbiaceae
Source: RNAcentral